GACGAACGCUGGCGGCGUGCUUAACACAUGCAAGUCGAACGGAAAGGCCCUGCUUUUGUGGGGUGCUCGAGUGGCGAACGGGUGAGUAACACGUGAGUAACCUGCCCUUGACUUUGGGAUAACUUCAGGAAACUGGGGCUAAUACCGGAUAGGAGCUCCUGCUGCAUGGUGGGGGUUGGAAAGUUUCGGCGGUUGGGGAUGGACUCGCGGCUUAUCAGCUUGUUGGUGGGGUAGUGGCUUACCAAGGCGUUGACGGGUAGCCGGCCUGAGAGGGUGACCGGCAACAUUGGGACUGAGAUACGGCCCAGACUCCUACGGGAGGCAGCAGUGGGGAAUAUUGCACAAUGGGCGGAAGCCUGAUGCAGCAACGCCGCGUGCGGGAUGACGGCCUUCGGGUUGUAAACCGCUUUCGCCUGUGACGAAGCGUGAGUGACGGUAAUGGGUAAAGAAGCACCGGCUAACUACGUG
This 468-nucleotide ribosomal RNA is filed under the name uncultured bacterium. RNAcentral's name for it is "partial 16S ribosomal RNA". It matches the Rfam family "Bacterial small subunit ribosomal RNA", at positions 28 to 507 of the family's 1533-position model. The record is from RNAcentral.